AGUAUGAGUAGGUCUUGAAACUUAAAGUAUUUGGCGGUUUUUUAGGCUAGUUAGAGGAAUCUGUUUUUUGAUCGAUGGUCCUCGUGGGGUUUUACUUUUUCUUUAAAUAUCGCCGUCGACGUCAGGUCAAGAUUUAGCUGAUGGAAAAGGUUGAAAGUGGAUUUAAAAGUUUAUGGUGUUACUUUGAGCUCUGAAAUGAGU
RNAcentral lists this ribosomal RNA (201 nucleotides) under Sarax buxtoni. RNAcentral's name for it is "partial small subunit ribosomal RNA". Lineage: Eukaryota; Metazoa; Arthropoda; Arachnida; Amblypygi; Charinidae. The record is from RNAcentral.